Neogale vison (American mink) is the source of this 783-nucleotide long non-coding RNA. RefSeq lists it as uncharacterized. Lineage: Eukaryota; Metazoa; Chordata; Mammalia; Carnivora; Mustelidae. The record is from RefSeq and is a predicted model, not a curated record. The transcript is spliced from 5 exons.
AAUAUGAACCCCACUGACAUACUGUGUAUCGGAGGAGUUUUGUGCCUUAUCACACUGGCAGAGCUAAAAGUGUGAUGGCUGCUUUGGGGAGUAGAAGAGGCUGAAAUGAAGACAAAGAGUGAAGAUGGAGAAACAAGAUGGCGGUGGUGGAGAGAACCAGCGAAGAGAGAAGGCUAAGGUGGUGCUGAGAAGGAACAGAGAGACUUUUCUUCUUCCUAACAGCAGCAGAGGGAAGAAUCCAGCUGAAGACAAUCCGGAGACAUCUGGCUUCAGGAGUAACAGAUCGUCUGGUCGCUGACUCCUUCAAAAUGGUGAUGCCAGUGCUUCAGGUGUGGGAACGAUGCUUAAAGACUCACUGACCUACGGGAACAGAGGGACAGAUGAGGGAUGAGAGAAGAGAUGGUGGUUGGCUGCCGUGAAAUCUUGGAUACAUCACAGAUGGGUAAAAACAGCCCCAUUUGAGGAAUCAGAAACAACCUGAAGCUUCUUCGUGGACAUACUUCAGCUGAAACCAGGACGCAUCCUGGGUCUUGGGACUGCUGGCUUUUGAACUAGAACCACACCAUUGCUUCUCCUAGUUCUCUCCUUGCUGACUGCAGAUCUUGGUACUUCUCAGCCACCAGAAUCAUUAUCCACAGCACACUGGAGGGGAAAGCUUGUCAAUCUGAAAACACUGGUCGGACCAUUUCACCAGAGUCAAUGAUUCCUUUAUCAUACUGUCCAUGCCACCUCAACUGUGAUGAGCAUACAGAACACUCGCCGUAUGACCAACCACUAACCCUG